CCUACGGGCGGCAGCAGUGGGGAAUAUUGGACAAUGGGCGAAAGCCUGAUCCAGCCAUGCCGCGUGUGUGAAGAAGGCCUUCGGGUUGUAAAGCACUUUCAGUGGGGAAGAAAGCCUUGGGGCUAAUACCCUCGAGGAAGGACAUCACCCACAGAAGAAGCACCGGCUAACUCCGUGCCAGCAGCCGCGGUAAUACGGAGGGUGCGAGCGUUAAUCGGAAUUACUGGGCGUAAAGCGCGCGUAGGCGGUCUGAUAAGCCGGUUGUGAAAGCCCCGGGCUCAACCUGGGAACGGCAUCCGGAACUGUCAGGCUAGAGUGCAGGAGAGGAAGGUAGAAUUCCCGGGGUAGCGGUGAAAUGCGUAGAGAUCGGGAGGAAUACCAGUGGCGAAGGCGGCCUUCUGGACUGACACUGACGCUGAGGUGCGAAAGCGUGGGUAGCAAACAGGAUUAGAUACCCGAGUAGUC
Molecule: ribosomal RNA, 465 nt
Filed under: Vreelandella stevensii
Lineage: Bacteria; Pseudomonadati; Pseudomonadota; Gammaproteobacteria; Oceanospirillales; Halomonadaceae
Description: partial 16S ribosomal RNA
Rfam family: Bacterial small subunit ribosomal RNA
Source: RNAcentral